AGCCUAGUAUGGGCGGGUUACGCACAUACUGUCGGCACACUCACAACAAAACAAUCUCAAUCUAGAAUCUAACCUAAAGAUAGAGUUCCAGAUCCUAACUAGACAGUCGACUCCACAAGACUAACCAUAGUACCAGUAGUCCGGCCUAUAUGGCCUAAGACCCUUAGUACUAAUAACUAAACAAUAAUAUCAAUACUAAACAAAUAAAUCAAACCGUUACCCAGAUAGUCCAGCCUCCCGCUGAGAAACU
RNAcentral lists this long non-coding RNA (250 nucleotides) under Brassica napus (rape). RNAcentral's name for it is "long non-coding RNA (BNAP_LNC005000)". Lineage: Eukaryota; Viridiplantae; Streptophyta; Magnoliopsida; Brassicales; Brassicaceae. The record is from RNAcentral.